GAUGAACGCUGGCGGCGUGCCUAAUACAUGCAAGUCGAGCGAACGGACGAGAAGCUUGCUUCUCUGAUGUUAGCGGCGGACGGGUGAGUAACACGUGGAUAACCUACCUAUAAGACUGGGAUAACUUCGGGAAACCGGAGCUAAUACCGGAUAAUAUUUUGAACCGCAUGGUUCAAAAGUGAAAGACGGUCUUGCUGUCACUUAUAGAUGGAUCCGCGCUGCAUUAGCUAGUUGGUAAGGUAACGGCUUACCAAGGCAACGAUGCAUAGCCGACCUGAGAGGGUGAUCGGCCACACUGGAACUGAGACACGGUCCAGACUCCUACGGGAGGCAGCAGUAGGGAAUCUUGCGCAAUGGGCGAAAGCCUGACGGAGCAAUGCCGCGUGAGUGAUGAAGGUCUUCGGAUUGUAAAACUCUUUUAGUAGGGAAGAACAUAUGUGAAAGUAACUGUUCACAUCUUGACGUUACCUAAUCAGAAAGCCACGGCUAACUACGUG
This 497-nucleotide ribosomal RNA is filed under the name uncultured bacterium. RNAcentral describes it as "partial 16S ribosomal RNA". It matches the Rfam family "Bacterial small subunit ribosomal RNA", at positions 28 to 507 of the family's 1533-position model. The record is from RNAcentral.